This 318-nucleotide ribosomal RNA is filed under the name Triticum aestivum (bread wheat). Its description in RNAcentral is "partial small subunit ribosomal RNA". Lineage: Eukaryota; Viridiplantae; Streptophyta; Magnoliopsida; Poales; Poaceae. The record is from RNAcentral.
AUGGGGAGACACAUUUUUCACCCGCCACAUCUUUUUUCUUCUCAGUGUCACCGAUGCCACAUCUUAUCAAACGACACCUCAUAUCCAGCGGCAACACAACUUGCCAUAUACGUGCAACUCAUCUUCAUCGUAUAUGAACUCGCUGAAACUCCGCAACCACGAACGGAAACACAAGGCAUGCAUUCCUUUUUCCACCCGUUGUCGCUUGCAAUUCUCCCCGCCAGUGACGCAUCUCAACUGCAGCAGAAGAUUCACACAUCUGAGCUCUUGGACGCACCUUACAAGAACUCAUGUGCACACCUUGACGAUAGCUCGUAA